Molecule: ribosomal RNA, 520 nt
Filed under: Citrobacter freundii
Lineage: Bacteria; Pseudomonadati; Pseudomonadota; Gammaproteobacteria; Enterobacterales; Enterobacteriaceae
Also listed under: 1 other name
Description: partial 16S ribosomal RNA
Rfam family: Bacterial small subunit ribosomal RNA
Source: RNAcentral
GGUGCCUUCGGGAACUCUGAGACAGGUGCUGCAUGGCUGUCGUCAGCUCGUGUUGUGAAAUGUUGGGUUAAGUCCCGCAACGAGCGCAACCCUUAUCCUUUGUUGCCAGCGGUCCGGCCGGGAACUCAAAGGAGACUGCCAGUGAUAAACUGGAGGAAGGUGGGGAUGACGUCAAGUCAUCAUGGCCCUUACGAGUAGGGCUACACACGUGCUACAAUGGCAUAUACAAAGAGAAGCGACCUCGCGAGAGCAAGCGGACCUCAUAAAGUAUGUCGUAGUCCGGAUUGGAGUCUGCAACUCGACUCCAUGAAGUCGGAAUCGCUAGUAAUCGUGGAUCAGAAUGCCACGGUGAAUACGUUCCCGGGCCUUGUACACACCGCCCGUCACACCAUGGGAGUGGGUUGCAAAAGAAGUAGGUAGCUUAACCUUCGGGAGGGCGCUUACCACUUUGUGAUUCAUGACUGGGGUGAAGUCGUAACAAGGUAACCGUAGGGGAACCUGCGGUUGGAUCACCUCCUUA